UGGGGAAUAUUGCACAAUGGGCGCAAGCCUGAUGCAGCCAUGCCGCGUGUAUGAAGAAGGCCUUCGGGUUGUAAAGUACUUUCAGCGGGGAGGAAGGCGAUAAGGUUAAUAACCUUGUCGAUUGACGUUACCCGCAGAAGAAGCACCGGCUAACUCCGUGCCAGCAGCCGCGGUAAUACGGAGGGUGCAAGCGUUAAUCGGAAUUACUGGGCGUAAAGCGCACGCAGGCGGUCCGUCAAGUCGGAUGUGAAAUCCCCGGGCUCAACCUGGGAACUGCAUUCGAAACUGGCAGGCUAGAGUCUUGUAGAGGGGGGUAGAAUUCCAGGUGUAGCGGUGAAAUGCGUAGAGAUCUGGAGGAAUACCGGUGGCGAAGGCGGCCCCCUGGACAAAGACUGACGCUCAGGUGCGAAAGCGUGGGGAGCAAACA
RNAcentral lists this ribosomal RNA (427 nucleotides) under uncultured bacterium. Its description in RNAcentral is "partial 16S ribosomal RNA". It matches the Rfam family "Bacterial small subunit ribosomal RNA", at positions 355 to 774 of the family's 1533-position model. The record is from RNAcentral.